Molecule: ribosomal RNA, 277 nt
Filed under: uncultured bacterium
Lineage: Bacteria
Description: partial 16S ribosomal RNA
Rfam family: Bacterial small subunit ribosomal RNA
Source: RNAcentral
CCUACGGGAGGCAGCAGUGAGGAAUAUUGGUCAAUGGGCGCGAGCCUGGACCAGCCAAGUCGCGUGAGGGAUGACGGCCCUACGGGUUGUAAACCUCUUUUGUCGGGGAGCAAAUUCCGUUACGUGUAACGGAGUCGAGAGUACCCGAAGAAAAAGCAUCGGCUAACUCCGUGCCAGCAGCCGCGGUAAUACGGAGGAUGCGAGCGUUAUCCGGAUUUAUUGGGUUUAAAGGGUGCGUAGGCGGUAUUUUAAGUUAGUGGUAAAACGUCGGGGCCUC